UUGUUGGAGAGUUUGAUCCUGGCUCAGGACGAACGCUGGCGGCGUGCUUAACACAUGCAAGUCGAGCGGUAAGGCCCUUUCGGGGGUACACGAGCGGCGAACGGGUGAGUAACACGUGGGUGACCUGCCCUCCACUCUGGGAUAAGCCCGGGAAACUGGGUCUAAUACCGGAUAGGACCACUGAUCGCAUGGUUGGUGGUGGAAAGUUUUUUCGGUGGGGGAUGGGCCCGCGGCCUAUCAGCUUGUUGGUGGGGUGAUGGCCUACCAAGGCGGUGACGGGUAGCCGGCCUGAGAGGGCGACCGGCCACACUGGGACUGAGACACGGCCCAGACUCCUACGGGAGGCAGCAGUGGGGAAUAUUGCGCAAUGGGCGGAAGCCUGACGCAGCGACGCCGCGUGGGGGAUGACGGCCUUCGGGUUGUAAACCUCUUUCGCCAGGGACGAAGAGCAAUUGACGGUACCUGGAGAAGAAGCACCGGCCAACUACGUGCCAGCAGCCGCGGUAACACGUAGGGUGCGAGCGUUGUCCGGAAUUAUUGGGCGUAAAGAGCUCGUAGGCGGUGUGUCGCGUCGGCCGUGAAAACUUGGGGCUUAACUCUGAGCGUGCGGUCGAUACGGGCA
RNAcentral lists this ribosomal RNA (622 nucleotides) under Pseudonocardia sp. SID8383. RNAcentral's name for it is "bacterial SSU rRNA". It matches the Rfam family "Bacterial small subunit ribosomal RNA", at positions 1 to 638 of the family's 1533-position model. Lineage: Bacteria; Bacillati; Actinomycetota; Actinomycetes; Pseudonocardiales; Pseudonocardiaceae. The record is from RNAcentral.